RNAcentral lists this ribosomal RNA (253 nucleotides) under uncultured bacterium. RNAcentral's name for it is "partial 16S ribosomal RNA". It matches the Rfam family "Bacterial small subunit ribosomal RNA", at positions 524 to 776 of the family's 1533-position model. The record is from RNAcentral.
UACGGAGGGUGCAAGCGUUAUCCGGAUUCACUGGGUUUAAAGGGUGCGUAGGCGGGUUGGUAAGUCCGUGGUGAAAUCUCCAAGCUUAACUUGGAAACUGCCGUGGAUACUAUCAAUCUUGAAUAUAGUGGAGGUGAGCGGAAUAUGUCAUGUAGCGGUGAAAUGGUUAGAUAUGUCAUAGAACACCGAUUGCGAAGGCAGCUCACAAAGCCAUUAUUGACGCUGAGGCACGAAAGCGUGGGGAUCAAACAGG